UCUCUCUGGGUUUCCGGCCUUUUGCUGUGCAUUAGUAAUGGGCCUCUGAUCUCCUUCUAGGAACACAUUAGCACCAUGGAACCAGCAGAGAGGACAGAGGCAGUUGGAACUGAACCCCAUAGGUGUGGCACUCCCCUAAGAAGAGGGCAGCCAGUGCAGAGGAGCUGGCUGCCAAUCCAUUGGAGAAGCUUGAAAAUAAACACCCAAGGCUUGUGGUGGCCACCAGAAGAGUGGUUCCCAAAGACACUGCAUGCUCUUUUCACAA
RNAcentral lists this long non-coding RNA (265 nucleotides) under Lepisosteus oculatus (spotted gar). RNAcentral describes it as "lncRNA (ENSLOCG00000022083.1)". The record is from RNAcentral. Lineage: Eukaryota; Metazoa; Chordata; Actinopteri; Semionotiformes; Lepisosteidae.